CCAUCGCCCACGAUAGCGGCUGCAUGGCGGGCGCGGAGUUGGGGGCGGCGCUCGAGCAGCGAGCGGCUCGGUGCCCUGGCCAUCCACACUGAGGUCGUGGAGCACCCCGAGCUAUUUACAGUUGAAGAAAUGAUGCCUCAUAUCCAACAUCUGAAAGGAGCACAUAGUAAGAACUUAUUUCUUAAAGACAAAAAGAAAAAGAAUUAUUGGCUGGUGACAGUUCUUCAUGAUAGACAAAUUAAUUUAAAUGAGCUUGCCAAGCAGUUAGGUGUUGGGAGUGGAAAUCUGCGAUUUGCUGAUGAAACAGCCAUGCUAGAAAACCUAAAAGUUGGUCAAGGCUGUGCCACACCCUUGGCACUUUUCUGUGAUGGUGAUGUGAAGUUUGUUCUGGAUUCUGCUUUUCUCGAAGGUGGACAUGAAAAGGUGUACUUUCAUCCAAUGACCAAUGCUGCAACCAUGGGAUUGAGCCCUGAAGACUUUCUCACAUUUGUGAAGAUGACAGGACAUGAUCCCAUAAUACUAAAUUUUGAUAAAAACAACUAA
This 543-nucleotide small RNA is filed under the name Pan troglodytes (chimpanzee). RNAcentral describes it as "transcribed unitary pseudogene". Lineage: Eukaryota; Metazoa; Chordata; Mammalia; Primates; Hominidae. The record is from RNAcentral.